This 484-nucleotide ribosomal RNA is filed under the name uncultured bacterium. RNAcentral's name for it is "partial 16S ribosomal RNA". It matches the Rfam family "Bacterial small subunit ribosomal RNA", at positions 28 to 507 of the family's 1533-position model. The record is from RNAcentral.
AUUGAACGCUGGCGGCAUGCUUUACACAUGCAAGUCGAACGGCAGCGCGGGCUUCGGCCUGGCUGCGAGUGGCGAACGGGUGAGUAAUGCAUCGGAACGUGCCCAGUAGUGGGGGAUAGUCCGUCGAAAGCCGGAUUAAUACCGCAGACGACCUGCUGGUGAAAGCGGGGGACCGAAAGGACUCGCGCUAUUGGAGCGGCCGAUGUCGGAUUAGCUAGUUUGUUGGGUAAAGGGUUACCAAGGCGACGAUCCGUAGCUGGUCUGAGUGGACGACCGCCCACACGGGGACUGAGACACCGCCCAGACUCCUACGGGAGGCAGCAGUGGGGAAUGUUGGACAAUGGGGGCAACCCUGACCCAGCCAGGCCGCGUGCGAGAAGAAGGCCUUCGGGUUGUAAACCGCUUUUGUUCGGGAAGAAAUCCUCUGGGCUAAUACCCCGGGGGGAUGACGGUACCGGAAGAAUAAGCACCGGCUAACUACGUG